AUGACAAAAUAUAGUAAAAGUGCACACGAGAGACACAUACAAAAAAAAACAAGAAGACCUGGAAAAAAUAAAAUGGCUCAGAGAGUAGAUCAGGAAAGUUAUGUCGUCUGAGAUGAUCUCUUGAGACCA
Caenorhabditis elegans is the source of this 129-nucleotide non-coding RNA. The record is from Ensembl. Lineage: Eukaryota; Metazoa; Nematoda; Chromadorea; Rhabditida; Rhabditidae.